AUGCAUGAUGGGUAUUUCAGAUAUGUAGCCACAUCUUAGGGCCUCAUUUCUAGGAGGGAUAAUUAAAAAUGUACAAAAUCAAAGUCCUGUCACCUGUGUUGCAAGCCAUUCUAAACACGGAUUGAUCAAUGUAAUGAUGAUAACAAUACAGAAUGUUAAUUCUAUGUGCCAUGCAUAGAUAAAUCAGAAUUACGAUUCUACUCUUAAUUGACAAAGCUGCACGUUCAGGCAGGCGCAAUGCAAUGCACCUAAAAGUAAAAGAAUAUUACAAGAACGCCUCAAGCAUCAGGAGGGCGCAAUGCACCUUAACAGUUGUGUGACAGACUUAACCAAAUAUUUUCUUAAGUAAAUCUUUGACACAAUAAUCUGCCAAUGGUCCUUUUCCAGGUCCUUGAUGCGCUUUGGCACAUGCUUGUGCGCAAGCAUUCUCGCAGUCUUGUAAAGGUGCCCCUUUCUCAUUGCACACAGGCAUGCAAUCUUGACUGCAUUGAGGGUCCAAAUAAAUAGCUCUACACGUCGUUACCGUAAGCAUAGAGAUCAAGAAAAUCAAACAUACCUUCUUAUCAUGCAUUGUGUUUUCUGUAACACCCUUCAAUCCUUCUAAGCCAAAUGAAUAAGUUGUGCUGUGGUUCUGAAUAAAAGUGCAAUCACACUCAGAAUACAAGAGUUAGGUGAUUUGUAAAGGCUAUACAAUCUUUCAAAGACUUUGAUGCUUGGUUUUGAUCUUCAACAGGAUUAAAUUGUAUUUAAGGGAAACCUGAUAAAUUUGUUGAAGUUUGGGAAGUAAGAAUUGGUCAAAAUGGAUAAAGGAAUUUCAAC
This 819-nucleotide long non-coding RNA is filed under the name Aquilegia coerulea. Its description in RNAcentral is "long non-coding RNA (ACOE_LNC000367)". The record is from RNAcentral. Lineage: Eukaryota; Viridiplantae; Streptophyta; Magnoliopsida; Ranunculales; Ranunculaceae.